RNAcentral lists this ribosomal RNA (254 nucleotides) under uncultured bacterium. RNAcentral's name for it is "partial 16S ribosomal RNA". It matches the Rfam family "Bacterial small subunit ribosomal RNA", at positions 524 to 776 of the family's 1533-position model. The record is from RNAcentral.
CACGUAGGGAGCAAGCGUUGUCCGGAUUUAUUGGGCGUAAAGAGCUCGUAGGUGGUUCGAUAAGUCGGGUGUGAAAACUCUGGGCUCAACUCAGAGACGUCACUCGAUACUGUCGUGACUGGAGUCUGGUAGGGGAGUGUGGAAUUCCCAGUGUAGCGGUGAAAUGCGUAGAUAUUGGGAGGAACACCAGUGGCGAAGGCGGCACUCUGGGCCAGUACUGACACUGAGGAGCGAAAGCGUGGGGAGCGAACAGG